Felis catus (domestic cat) is the source of this 346-nucleotide long non-coding RNA. RefSeq lists it as uncharacterized. The record is from RefSeq and is a predicted model, not a curated record. NCBI's taxonomy places the organism in Eukaryota, Metazoa, Chordata, Mammalia, Carnivora, Felidae. The transcript is spliced from 2 exons.
CCCCCACUGAUGUGCACCGAAGAGACACCGUCAGACUUUGCGAGUUCCUCUUAGAAUCCCAAGAGUUAAUUUCCCAUCAUGAGGCUACUGUUCCUUCUCUUUCUCCUCCUUGUGUGUCUUAUCCAGACGACAUCAGGGCAUGAAAAAAGGGGGAAAUCCCUUGAAUGUAAAAAACUGGGUGGUGUCUGCAAGCACCAGAAAACCCACGGAUGUUCCAUCCUGCCUGCAGAAUGCAAAAGUCGGAACAAACACUGCUGUAGAAUCUAGCUGCGGCCUGGAGGGUCUUCGGAGCCGCACAACAGACUCACCACCAAUGACUUCUGCUGAAUAAAAGCACCUGCACUCA